UGACGUGACUUAAAAGCUUUUUUUCGGUACUUUCUCAUUCUUAACGUUAGCAACGCCUUUACAAAAUGGCGCUCGCGACGGUUAGCAGAUCCAAGAUCACGAGGAGAACAAUCCGACAAGAUUUAGGUAAUUUAAAAAAAAGAAGAAAAAGAAAAAAAAGAUUUAAUCAGCUAUGAUGACGCACUUCUGAACGACGCAUCUAAAAGAUCUCUUUUACGGACUGAGUCACGUGUUGCGUAACAGCUGUGAAAUUGGAGCGUAGCUUGUUUUUCAUUAUCCAAAAAUAUCAGAAGACUGAAGUACGGAGUAAAGGAGAAAUGGACUGAGUUUAAUUAAUCCAGUAACGACCUAGCGCUUAGAUGACAACGGAUGGAAGAACAGAUCGUCAGCAGAUGCCAGGACCAGGGAGAAUCAGGACAAGAUGGCGGGCCAGAUCCACAAGGCAGAUUAGCGUCAGAACAACUUACGCCACCAGAGGGAGCUCAGCUGGUCUAGAUCAGAGCAAGCCAAAGAUGAAUGUCCCAACAGCAGCAGAGAAAGAAAGAGGGCUCACAAGCAGAGUAUCAGGGGUCUUCGCCAUAGCAAAGUCGUGAAGAGGGCAUUUGGUUUGUAUGGGUAGAGGCGUGGUGAGUGACAGUGUUUGAAAUUCCGAUGUGUCAUCUUUCCUGU
RNAcentral lists this long non-coding RNA (669 nucleotides) under Carassius auratus (goldfish). RNAcentral's name for it is "lncRNA (ENSCARG00000041853.1)". Lineage: Eukaryota; Metazoa; Chordata; Actinopteri; Cypriniformes; Cyprinidae. The record is from RNAcentral.